UACGUAGGUGACAAGCGUUGUCCGGAUUUACUGGGCGUAAAGAGCGCGCAGGCGGUCGUUCAAGUCGCGUGUGAAAGCCCCCGGCUCAACUGGGGAGGGUCACGCGAUACUGAUCGACUCGAAGGCAGGAGAGGGUAGUGGAAUUCCCGGUGUAGUGGUGAAAUGCGUAGAUAUCGGGAGGAACACCCAGGGGGAAACCAGCCGACUGGGCAAGUGCUGACGCUGAGGUGCGAGAGCGUGGGGAGCGAACCGG
This 253-nucleotide ribosomal RNA is filed under the name uncultured bacterium. RNAcentral describes it as "partial 16S ribosomal RNA". It matches the Rfam family "Bacterial small subunit ribosomal RNA", at positions 524 to 776 of the family's 1533-position model. The record is from RNAcentral.